GGAGGGGUGGUCGAGUGGUUAAAGGCACCAGACUGUAAAUCUGGCCGCGUGAGCGUACGCUGGUUCGAAUCCAGCCCCCUCCACCA
This 86-nucleotide transfer RNA is filed under the name Robiginitomaculum sp. RNAcentral's name for it is "tRNA-Tyr". It matches the Rfam family "tRNA". From Rfam's summary of the family: Transfer RNA (tRNA) molecules are approximately 80 nucleotides in length. Their secondary structure includes four short double-helical elements and three loops (D, anti-codon, and T loops). RNAcentral also lists the same sequence under 1 other name. Lineage: Bacteria; Pseudomonadati; Pseudomonadota; Alphaproteobacteria; Maricaulales; Robiginitomaculaceae. The record is from RNAcentral.